RNAcentral lists this ribosomal RNA (776 nucleotides) under uncultured Neocallimastigales. Its description in RNAcentral is "partial large subunit ribosomal RNA". It matches the Rfam family "Eukaryotic large subunit ribosomal RNA", at positions 24 to 627 of the family's 3401-position model. Lineage: Eukaryota; Fungi; Neocallimastigomycota; Neocallimastigomycetes; Neocallimastigales. The record is from RNAcentral.
UAUCUCUGUAGAGUCUGCAUAUCAAUAAGCGGAGGAAAAGAAACUAACAAGGAUUCCCUUAGUAACGGCGAGUGAAGCGGGAAGAGCUCAAAUUUGAAAUCUUCAAGGUUCUACCUUGACGAAUUGUAGUUUAAAGAAGUGUUUUCUGUUGGAGUUUUGGUAAAAGUUCUUUGGAAUAGGACAUCAUAGAGGGUGAGAAUCCCGUAUUUGACCAUUAUUUCCAGCUUUGUGAUACACUUUCAAAGAGUCGGAUUGUUUGGGAAUGCAGUCCAAAAUGGGUGGUAAAUUUCAUCUAAAGCUAAAUAUUGGCGAGAGACCGAUAGCGAACAAGUACCGUGAGGGAAAGAUGAAAAGAACUUUGAAAAGAGAGUUAAACAGUACGUGAAAUUGUCAAAAGGGAAGCGUUUGACACCAGUGUUGUUUUCUCGAAAAUCAAUUAAAAAAGGCAGGAUUUUGUGUUGUAUUGACUUUAUCAGCUUUCUGCACUCUCUUCUUGUCUUUUUUAAUGCACUUUUCGUUUAACAAGUCAACAUCAAUUUCUUUUGUUGUGAAAAGGGUCAUUGGAAGGUGGCUUUCUUUUCGGAGAAAGUGUUUAUAGCCUUUGGCCUCUGCAAUCGGAGAGAUUGAGGUCUGCAGCGUAGAUCCUUCGGGGUUAGAUACAUUUGCUGCUAAGUUAUAGCCUUUCAUAGACAACUUGUUGACUAUGAUCAGUCAUGUAGCUUACUCGCUUAUGCUAUUUUACCUACGCUUAGGAUGUUGACGAUCAGCUGAGCGCG